GACGAACGCUGGCGGCACGCUUAACACAUGCAAAUCGAACGAGAGAAGAGAAGCUUGCUUUUUUGAUCUAGUGGCGGACGGGUGAGUAACACGUGAGCAAUCUGCCUUUCAGAGGGGGAUACCGAUUGGAAACGAUCGUUAAUACCGCAUAACAUAAUUGAACCGCAUGAUUUGAUUAUCAAAGAUUUAUCGCUGAAAGAUGAGCUCGCGUCUGAUUAGCUAGUUGGUAAGGUAACGGCUUACCAAGGCGACGAUCAGUAGCCGGACUGAGAGGUUGAUCGGCCACAUUGGGACUGAGACACGGCCCAGACUCCUACGGGAGGCAGCAGUGGGGAAUAUUGCACAAUGGAGGAAACUCUGAUGCAGCGAUGCCGCGUGAGGGAAGAAGGUUUUAGGAUUGUAAACCUCUGUCUUCAGGGACGAAAAAAGACGGUACCUGAGGAGGAAGCUCCGGCUAACUACGUGCCAGCAGCCGCGGUAAUACGUAGGGAGCGAGCGUUGUCCGGAAUUACUGGGUGUAAAGGGAGCGUAGGCGGGAUCGCAAGUCAGAUGUGAAAACUAUGGGCUUAACCCAUAAACUGCAUUUGAAACUGUGGUUCUUGAGUGAAGUAGAGGUAAGCGGAAUUCCUAGUGUAGCGGUGAAAUGCGUAGAUAUUAGGAGGAACAUCAGUGGCGAAGGCGGCUUACUGGGCUUUAACUGACGCUGAGGCUCGAAAGCGUGGGGAGCAAACAGGAUUAGAUACCCUGGUAGUCCACGCCGUAAACGAUGAUUACUAGGUGUGGGGGGACUGACCCCUUCCGUGCCGCAGCAAACGCAAUAAGUAAUCCACCUGGGGAGUACGACCGCAAGGUUGAAACUCAAAGGAAUUGACGGGGGCCCGCACAAGCAGUGGAGUAUGUGGAUUAAUUCGAAGCAACGCGAAGAACCUUACCAGGUCUUGACAUCGUAUGCAUAGCUCAGAGAUGAGUGAAAUCUCUUCGGAGACAUAUAGACAGGUGGUGCAUGGUUGUCGUCAGCUCGUGUCGUGAGAUGUUGGGUUAAGUCCCGCAACGAGCGCAACCCUUACUGUUAGUUGCUACGCAAGAGCACUCUAGCAGGACUGCCGUUGACAAAACGGAGGAAGGUGGGGAGGACGUCAAAUCAUCAUGCCCCUUAUGACCUGGGCCUCACACGUACUACAAUGGCUGUCAACAGAGGGAAGCAAAGCCGCGAGGUGGAGCAAACCCCUAAAAGCAGUCUUAGUUCGGAUUGUAGGCUGCAACCCGCCUACAUGAAGUCGGAAUUGCUAGUAAUCGCAGAUCAGCAUGCUGCGGUGAAUAAGUUCCCGGGCCUUGCACA
RNAcentral lists this ribosomal RNA (1339 nucleotides) under uncultured bacterium. Its description in RNAcentral is "bacterial SSU rRNA". It matches the Rfam family "Bacterial small subunit ribosomal RNA", at positions 28 to 1387 of the family's 1533-position model. The record is from RNAcentral.